This 253-nucleotide ribosomal RNA is filed under the name uncultured bacterium. RNAcentral describes it as "partial 16S ribosomal RNA". It matches the Rfam family "Bacterial small subunit ribosomal RNA", at positions 524 to 776 of the family's 1533-position model. The record is from RNAcentral.
UACGUAGGGUGCAAGCGUUGUCCGGAAUUAUUGGGCGUAAAGAGCUCGUAGGCGGUUCGUCGCGUCGGCUGUGAAAUCCCGAGGCUCAACCUCGGGUCUGCAGUCGAUACGGGCGGACUGGAGUUCGGCAGGGGAGACUGGAAUUCCUGGUGUAGCGGUGAAAUGCGCAGGUAUCAGGAGGAACACCGGUGGCGAAGGCGGGUCUCUGGGCCGAUACUGACGCUGAGGAGCGAAAGCGUGGGGAGCGAACAGG